This 253-nucleotide ribosomal RNA is filed under the name uncultured prokaryote. RNAcentral's name for it is "partial 16S ribosomal RNA". It matches the Rfam family "Bacterial small subunit ribosomal RNA", at positions 524 to 776 of the family's 1533-position model. The record is from RNAcentral.
UACGGAGGGUGCAAGCGUUAUCCGGAUUCACUGGGUUUAAAGGGUGCGUAGGUGGGUUGGUAAGUCAGUGGUGAAAUCCCCGAGCUUAACUUGGGAACUGCCAUUGAUACUAUCAGUCUUGAAUACCGUGGAGGUCAGCGGAAUAUGUCAUGUAGCGGUGAAAUGCUUAGAUAUGACAUAGAACAUCAAUUGCGAAGGCAGCUGGCUACGCGAAUAUUGACACUGAGGCACGAAAGCGUGGGGAUCAAACAGG